GGUGCCUUUUCAGGAAAGGAUUGUACCAAGGUGGACCGCUCAGCUGCUUAUGCUGCCCGUUGGGUGGCAAAGUCCCUCAUUGACAGAGAUCUGUGCAGAAGGGUGCUUGUGCAGGUCAAUUACGCUAUUGGAGUUGCUCACCCAUUAUCGAUUUCCAUUUCCCAUUACGGCACCUCUGAGAAGAGUGAGCAAGAGCUAGUAGAUAUUGUGAAGAAGAAUUUUGACCUCCGCCCUGAAGUCAUUGUCAGGGAUCUGGAUCUGAAGAAGCCAAUUUAUCAGAGGACUGCAGUCUAUGGCCACUUUGGCAGGGAAGGCUUCCCCUGGGAAGUGCCCAAAAAGUUUAAAUAUUAAGUGUCAGCCGUUUCCUCCCAGACUUGCUGGCGUGGGCUACAGAGAAGGCUCCACGCUCUGAGGGAAAGACCCCCUUCCUACAUUUGUCCUGUCCUCCGUCAGCUCCUGAUCACCUGCUGUCCCUCUGCGGUCAGCGAUGUGAAUUGUAGCUCUGGGGGGGGGCUGGCUGUAUGUUGGGCUUGAUCUCUGUCCCUGGUGUGUGUUCACCAUGAUAAUACAUUAAUUGGGCACUGGUGAUCCUUGUAACUGCCUAGAAGCAGACAACACUAUAGUGAAUAAAGCACUGAAAUUGA
This is a long non-coding RNA of Echinops telfairi (small Madagascar hedgehog), 644 nucleotides long. RefSeq lists it as uncharacterized. NCBI's taxonomy places the organism in Eukaryota, Metazoa, Chordata, Mammalia, Afrosoricida, Tenrecidae. The record is from RefSeq and is a predicted model, not a curated record. The transcript has 3 exons.